This is a long non-coding RNA of Oreochromis aureus, 1950 nucleotides long. RefSeq lists it as uncharacterized. The transcript has 3 exons. The record is from RefSeq and is a predicted model, not a curated record. NCBI's taxonomy places the organism in Eukaryota, Metazoa, Chordata, Actinopteri, Cichliformes, Cichlidae.
CGCAUCAGAGCAUCGGGCCGUAUAGUGUGAGACCCUGCAUCGUGACCUACGAACUUCUAACCCCUGCGAGUCAAUCGUACAGUUUGAGCAGGCGCUGAAUAACGCCACUGAAAAAAUCGCACAGCGUAUGCCCAAGGCUCCGCCGAUGCUGAUGGAAAUGGACAAAACGUUAAGAAACGCAAAGCCAGAGGAACAGACUAACACACACUAAUGCUGUUUUUGACCUCUAUUUAUGCCCUCAGUAGGCGUGACCUUACGGCCGCACUUCAAAGCACGGCCGCACUUCAAAGCACUCAGCCUUUUGACGCGUCACCUAAUCUUCGUUCUAAUGGCGCAACUCCUCCCAGUCAUUCAUAAUCCGACCUCCGCGUUUGCACUCGCUGCCUACAAGAGCUCCCAAAUGUGAACAUCACUGAUGUUCAUCGGAUUUGCAGAGUGACGACAACCCCCGCCAGCAUGUUAGAUAAAGGAUUUAAGUUAUAUGCUGCAUCACACAACUACGAAGGUAAGAAAACGUAAAUUAACCGACAAAGAAACGUUAGCUAACGUGAAAUGCAAACACUACGUUACUCCGCUAUGUGUUUCAUUUGAUGUCAAUUCUCUGCAUUACAUGUUUCCUUAAAUGGUGUUUAUAGUUGAGGUUUAACUAAUGUCACUUUUGUUGUUAGACACUUUUAUAAUAGCGUUAGGUAGUUGGCUAACUAAGCAGGUAGUUAACUACCCAAUGCUACUCUUGCUACGUGUAAAGUAUAUAUGUUUAAGACGUGCUGACAUGAGUAGUACAGAAAUAAUGCUAAUGGUACUUGUAUCUUUAUUCAGUGUCCAAAAAACACAGGUUGACAGGGGAGGUCGGUGUGAGAGCCCUGUGCUACAGGUCAAUGAGGAAGAGUGAGGCACCACCACACAGACUAAGUGUAGGCAGGAAGCUGUGUAAAGUUGUUAAUCCCUGUUCAGUGGGGUUCAGUUCAUUUAAGCAUUAGUUAAGUUCAUUCCUGAAGGCCCAUCAACUUGAAUGUUUUCCUUGUCCCCCUGCUUUAUCACACCUAAUUUGACUAGUCAGAUGUGUUUGGGUGAUCAGAAACAAAUUUACACCAAGUUAAUACGGCAAAUAUACACAAUCUAAGUUAUUACAGUUAUCAAGGAUGGUUAAAUUGUUUAAAUAGGGAGAGAAGGAAACACUAAGCAUUCAGGAGGGUAAGCCUGUAGGGUCAGUAACCAUAACACUGAACUAUGUUCCUGUUUGGCUCUUCCAUGAAGAUGAUGUUACAUUUUUAAUUUUCGUUCUUUCUUCUUAGAUUAAGCUUCUGGAUUCAUCGCUGGUGGUACUGACACAUAGCCAGUGCUCCUGUGUGGCAGGUGCUGUUAUGUGCAAUCACACAGUGGCACUGCUCUUCCAAACAGCACACUACUCACAACUCAGAGUGCCGGUUAUCCCCCUGUGCAUAGCUGCACCGAAUCUGAACAGCAAUGGCACAAGCCACGGACAGUGGGUGUGAAGCCAGGACCUAUCAACUCUAUGAUCUUCACUAAGCCGGUACCAAAUAGGAUGGCCCAGACUGGAGCACGGAGUGGAUUCUACAGAGGCACUGUGGGUCCAUUACCAGAUCCCUGACCUGACAAGCCCCUUGUGGAAAGUGCCUUUGGGCUGGUGAAGGAGGGCAGUGUUCUGCCAUGUCAGCAGCCGGUUUUGACAACCCGGUACAUCACACUACACCGUGAUGCACCACCAACACCGCACUUGCCUCUGGAGGGUAUGACAUCAAGGAAACCCUGCUCGCUCAGACAGCCUGUGAUAUUUUCUCAAACCGCUGCGCUGAACAAGUUUCCAAAGAACAUGCUGUGUGACACAAUAAAUAUCCUUUAACCUGUUAACCUGUGGCUUCUGGAAGAAACUCGGGUGAGUCAGUCACUGCAAACACAUUUGUAUCAUCAAGUGUUUGUCAAAUGAAA